RNAcentral lists this long non-coding RNA (925 nucleotides) under Triticum aestivum (bread wheat). RNAcentral describes it as "long non-coding RNA (TAES_LNC019703)". The record is from RNAcentral. Lineage: Eukaryota; Viridiplantae; Streptophyta; Magnoliopsida; Poales; Poaceae.
CGUAAUACAAGCUUAGUUGAUACAAGCUCUACAAGUAUGGGAAUCACUGGUCUACAAGUGUUUUCUUCUUCUACAUGUAGCUCCUUCAAUAGUCAGGACUGGGCAUUCCACGGACGCCCUGUUACCUGAAUCAGCUGAUAAGAAUUAGAAAAACUGGAGCCAAUAUAUUAUGAACAUUCCAUUCAAAAAAGGAGUAAAGAACAUUCUUUGUUUCAUCAUGUUACAAAGGAGCAACACAAACCACAACUUUACUCCACACACACACACACAUGAAUAUUAAGUUCAGUUCCAGUAACUAUAUCAUGGUUUAACAGAGCAUGUAAUGAAUGACAGUUCAAUUUCACAGCCGGCCUCAACAUCAUCAAACCACCAUGCUUAUGAUCAUAAUCUAAGCAUAUCAUCAAACAAAACCUACACAGAUAAAGAUCACAGCACAUCAAGCCACAGGCGCACCAGCGGUGGCAUGAGAUUCAACGCAACAGCGAUGGGGCUACCACAACAGCAUCAAAAACCUACACAGCAACCGACUGUUUACUGAUAAUGAAAACCAGCGGCCUACUCACACACUUUGCGCCUUGACUAACUGUCAAAGCAUCUUCAGAUUUGUUAACCAGUUUGCCAAUAAAUUCAGUUGAUUACAUGUCUGAAUACUUCAAACCACUGAUUUUGUACCAAAUUCAAAGAACACACAUAAGCCAAAAAAGCUACAUUCAGGGGCUUAAUGCUACAUCCACAACAGUCUGACUUCUCAAAUGGCAGAUUCACCUUCCGAACCAUGUAGGAGAAAAACAUAGACCAUGGAAUCAACAGGUAAUCGUACCUUGAGCAGCAGAGCAGGCGCCUCAGACGAUCACGAGAGCACGAUCCCGCCGCAUUGCCUUGCUGCUGGCCUCGUCGGGCGCUUCACCAUUGGCCAGAGGAGGAG